GUUUGAUCCUGGCUCAGGAUGAACGCUGGCGGUAUGCUUUACACAUGCAAGUCGUACGAGAGUUUUUAACUCAAGUGGCGGACGGGUGAGUAACACGUAAGAAUUUGCCUUUAGGAGGGGGAUAACAACUGGAAACGGUUGCUAAUACCCCAUAUGCUUUCGAGUGAAAUGGAGUUUUCCGCCUAAAGAGAAGCUUGCGGCUGAUUAGCUUGUUGGUAAGGUAAUGGCUUACCAAGGCGACGAUCAGUAUCUGGUUUGAGAGGACGAUCAGACACACUGGAACUGAGACACGGUCCAGACUCCUACGGGAGGCAGCAGUGGGGAAUUUUCCGCAAUGGGCGAAAGCCUGACGGAGCAAUACCGCGUGAGGGAUGACGGCCUAUGGGUUGUAAACCUCUUUUUUCAGGGAGGAAAAAAAUGACGUUACCUGAAGAAUAAGCAUCGGCUAACUCCGUGCCAGCAGCCGCGGUAAGACGGGGGAUGCAGGUGUUAUCCGGAAUCACUGGGCGUAAAGCGUCUGCAGGUGGUUUAAUAAGUCAACUGUUAAAUCUUGAGGCUUAACUUCAAAACCGCAGUCGAAACUAUUAGACUAGAGUAUAGUAGGGGUAAAGGGAAUUUCCAGUGGAGCGGUGAAAUGCGUAGAGAUUGGAAAGAACACCGAUGGCGAAGGCACUUUACUGGGCUAUUACUAACACUGAGAGACGAAAGCUAGGGUAGCAAUGGGAUUAGAUACCCCAGUAGUCCUAGCUGUGAACAAUGGAUACUAGAUGUUGAACAGAUCGACCUGUGCAGUAUCAAAGCUAACGCGUUAAGUAUCCCGCCUGGGAAGUAUGCUCGCAAGAGUGAAACUCAAAGGAAUUGACGG
Molecule: ribosomal RNA, 865 nt
Filed under: uncultured bacterium
Lineage: Bacteria
Description: bacterial SSU rRNA
Rfam family: Bacterial small subunit ribosomal RNA
Source: RNAcentral